RNAcentral lists this small nuclear RNA (102 nucleotides) under Propithecus coquereli (Coquerel's sifaka). Lineage: Eukaryota; Metazoa; Chordata; Mammalia; Primates; Indriidae. The record is from RNAcentral.
CAGUUAUAGUGGAAAUGAUACAGAAAAUUGGAAAGACACAGAAAAUUAGCACAUCCUCUGUGCAAGGGUGACACACAAACUUGUGAAGUGUUUAAUAUUUGU